This 73-nucleotide transfer RNA is filed under the name Daphnia pulex (common water flea). RNAcentral describes it as "tRNA-Met". It matches the Rfam family "tRNA". From Rfam's summary of the family: Transfer RNA (tRNA) molecules are approximately 80 nucleotides in length. Their secondary structure includes four short double-helical elements and three loops (D, anti-codon, and T loops). Further hydrogen bonds mediate the characteristic L-shaped molecular structure. tRNAs have two regions of fundamental functional importance: the anti-codon, which is responsible for specific mRNA codon recognition, and the 3' end, to which the tRNAs corresponding amino acid is attached (by aminoacyl-tRNA synthetases). tRNAs cope with the degeneracy of the genetic code in two manners: having more than one tRNA (with a specific anti-codon) for a particular amino acid; and 'wobble' base-pairing, i.e. permitting non-standard base-pairing at the 3rd anti-codon position. Lineage: Eukaryota; Metazoa; Arthropoda; Branchiopoda; Diplostraca; Daphniidae. The record is from RNAcentral.
GCCUCGAUAGCGCAGUAGGAAGCGCGCGAGUCUCAUAAUCUCGAGGUCGUGAGUUCGAACCUCACUCGGGGCA